CCUCCACUUGGAGCUCGACCUCGCACCGGGCUCCCCCUAGCUCCUGAAGCUCCAUCUCGCACUAGGCUUCCUGCCAGAUAGUAAUAUCUUUUUAUCCUCUUCUUUUUCUCCAAUAUCAUUCUAUCAUCGCACAUAACCUUCAGGAUUCCAUCACCAGCUACCCACCUAUAGCCAUUUGAAUUCAGUCUGCUAGUGAGAUAAGAUUCUACCA
RNAcentral lists this long non-coding RNA (211 nucleotides) under Elaeis guineensis (African oil palm). RNAcentral's name for it is "long non-coding RNA (EGUI_LNC035510)". Lineage: Eukaryota; Viridiplantae; Streptophyta; Magnoliopsida; Arecales; Arecaceae. The record is from RNAcentral.